This is a long non-coding RNA of Ipomoea nil (Japanese morning glory), 813 nucleotides long. RefSeq lists it as uncharacterized. The record is from RefSeq and is a predicted model, not a curated record. The transcript is spliced from 2 exons. NCBI's taxonomy places the organism in Eukaryota, Viridiplantae, Streptophyta, Magnoliopsida, Solanales, Convolvulaceae.
GACUAGAAGAUAGAUAAUAGUGCUGGAUGGUUUCGGAAGACACAACAUUAUGCACGACUCUUGGGAAUGAAAAUGGAAGUGCAAAGGAUGGAACUGAACACGAACAACCUCAAUCACACAGAAACACAAGAACUCUAGGACAAAUGUCAAAUUGCCCAUCAAUUGUGAUAGAGGUGAAACAGAGCAGGAACAACCGAACAAGGGAUACAUCUAGCUCAUAGUAAUGAAGAUAGCCCCAAAGCGAUUAAGUGAAACCUUUAGCAAAAAAAAACACUGGUUUAACAAACAGCUUUUGGAAAUAGAAUAUGGUAGUGCCAAAGUUGGACACCCUUGGGGAAUAAAGAUGGCACAUUGGAAAUAAAGAAACAUACAUGACAAUGCCAAAAAAUAUAGAAUAUUCUAGGUGGCAAAAAACCUUCAAAUUGCAUUAGAAAGACUGAAAAAUGGCAAAGAAGGGAUCUGAAAUUUUUUCCUGAGACAGUCAUCAAAGGUGGCCUCAGCCACGUGCCGGUCCGUGAUGCUGGCAGCAAAGGCUGUUUCCGAAAUUUUAUUGGCUUGAUUGCCGAAGGGAAAUGAGUCCAGUGGUGUUGGCAGUAAGGUGAUUGGACCACUAGAGAAGGAGAUCUGGCUGAAAAACUGACUGUGAGAUCUGGCAGUUAGUCACCAGUACUCCAGUGAUGGGUUCUUUGGUGAUAGGGCGUGACAGCAUCUUGAAGAAUUUGGUUGUGUUGAUUUUCAAAAAACCACUGGAACGGGUUGGAAAUUGGAAUAAGAAUUGGCCGUUAUGAUGAGUAGAAAAUCUCGGGAAAAAAA